Molecule: ribosomal RNA, 380 nt
Filed under: Enterobacter sp. FES38
Lineage: Bacteria; Pseudomonadati; Pseudomonadota; Gammaproteobacteria; Enterobacterales; Enterobacteriaceae
Description: bacterial SSU rRNA
Rfam family: Bacterial small subunit ribosomal RNA
Source: RNAcentral
CCUUACCUACUCUUGACAUCCAGAGAACUUUCCAGAGAUGGAUUGGUGCCUUCGGGAACUCUGAGACAGGUGCUGCAUGGCUGUCGUCAGCUCGUGUUGUGAAAUGUUGGGUUAAGUCCCGCAACGAGCGCAACCCUUAUCCUUUGUUGCCAGCGGUCCGGCCGGGAACUCAAAGGAGACUGCCAGUGAUAAACUGGAGGAAGGUGGGGAUGACGUCAAGUCAUCAUGGCCCUUACGAGUAGGGCUACACACGUGCUACAAUGGCGCAUACAUAGAGAAGCGACCUCGCGAGAGCAAGCGGACCUCAUAAAGCCUUCUAUCCGGAUUGGAGUCUGCAACUCGACUCCAUGAAGUCGGAAUCGCUAGUAAUCGUAGAUCAG